Molecule: ribosomal RNA, 301 nt
Filed under: uncultured bacterium
Lineage: Bacteria
Description: partial 16S ribosomal RNA
Rfam family: Bacterial small subunit ribosomal RNA
Source: RNAcentral
CACAGCCGCGGGAAUACGUAGGGUGCGAGCGUUAAUCGGAAUUACUGGGCGUAAAGCGUGCGCAGGCGGUUCGUUAAGACAGAUGUGAAAUCCCCGGGCUUAACCUGGGAACUGCAUUUGUGACUGGCGAGCUAGAGUAUGGCAGAGGGGGGUAGAAUUCCACGUGUAGCAGUGAAAUGCGUAGAGAUGUGGAGGAAUACCGAUGGCGAAGGCAGCCCCCUGGGCCAAUACUGACGCUCAUGCACGAAAGCGUGGGGAGCAAACAGGAUUAGAUACCCCCGUAGUCCCUGUCUCUUAUACA